GGCUACAUUUAAAUAUCAUGAUUGUCCAUUUGAAAAGAAAAACAAAAACACAACAACCAAACAAAAAAACACCUCAGCCAAACAGUAACGUAGCAUCAGAAUUCCUGUGUGAUGGUUUUUCCCAGUAUAAAUCCACUGGUUUUCUGCCUUAAAGAUGCAUUUCAAUAUCCAUCAGUUCUCUGAAGUCAAGAAUGGAGCAGUUUAGGAGCUGGAUUUUUGAUUCACUCCCACCCAUAGGAACUAACAAGCUUAACAAUAAGCAGCAAUUUCUUCUUAAAACUUCACAUUUAAUAUUCUUCGCUAAAAGCCCUCUUCUGUUUGUCUAGUGCAAGCCAAGACAGAAUCUGAUGCAGUGAAAUGUCCUGUUUGUUUGAUGGCAGGCAUGAGGAAGGUACUCUCUGCAAAGGAGAACAGUGGGUGCUUUGUCGGCUACCACCACUCAAGUGAAAUCCAGGUCAUGUCAAUUUCAGACCUUUUUAUUAGUCACUGCAUUCUCUAUUUCAUGCAUGCGUUAUUUCCAUUGUGUCUUUUACACUUACUGUGGUAUGUCAAGAAGCAGCAGACAAAGAUUUGUGUGUGCAGAACAAUGCAAAAGCAUUAUGGUGAAAUAACAGUGAAAUAGUUCUAACAUUAUAAUAUUACUUCAAUACAUUGUGAGAAGUAAGUAAUGCCAAUAAAAGAGCCUUUGUGUCAGUAUAACAUCAAUGGUAGGGGGUGUAUUAAUCUCACAGUAACUAUUAAGAAAUAGAGCAAUGCAGAAACUAUACAAAGGAACCGUUACUGAAAGAAUGAGAUACCGGCUGUUGUGAAACCUGUGUAAGGUAUUUUUGAACUAAGUAACUAUUAAAGACCCCUUCCAUGCAACCUUCCCUGCCGAACAUGUGCAAAUAAAGCAGAGGUCCAGCACUUUC
Long non-coding RNA from Oxyura jamaicensis (ruddy duck), 911 nucleotides. RefSeq lists it as uncharacterized. The transcript is spliced from 2 exons. The record is from RefSeq and is a predicted model, not a curated record. Lineage: Eukaryota; Metazoa; Chordata; Aves; Anseriformes; Anatidae.